AGCUCUCACACAGAUGAGCAGAGGAUGAAGAGGGUCAUGGGACCUGCGCCAACACUCCAGAGCACAGAAGCGAUCCUUUCAUCCAGACUCGUGUCAGUGCUUGAUGUCAAACUUCUCAAUUGUUUGCCAAUCUGAGGCCUGGUGUCACCUGCACAGCACUUUCACCUGCCAUGCAAAGCAGACACAUGCCCUUUGAUGUCAAAGACUGCCUGGGAGGAGAACUUCAGAGCUGCUCCAUGAAUCCCCCAUUCCCACUCCCCACAUUGUCUCUCUCCCUAAUGCUCCUGAC
Long non-coding RNA from Physeter macrocephalus (sperm whale), 289 nucleotides. RefSeq lists it as uncharacterized. The record is from RefSeq and is a predicted model, not a curated record. The transcript is spliced from 3 exons. Lineage: Eukaryota; Metazoa; Chordata; Mammalia; Artiodactyla; Physeteridae.